Molecule: ribosomal RNA, 253 nt
Filed under: uncultured bacterium
Lineage: Bacteria
Description: partial 16S ribosomal RNA
Rfam family: Bacterial small subunit ribosomal RNA
Source: RNAcentral
UACAGAGGGUGCAAGCGUUAAUCGGAAUUACUGGGCGUAAAGCGCACGUAGGUGGUUAAAUAAGUUGGAUGUGAAAUCCCCGGGCUUAACCUGGGAAGGUCAUCCGGUACUGUUUGACUGGAGUACAGUAGAGGGAAGUGGAAUUUCCGGUGUAGCGGUGAAAUGCGUAGAUAUCGGAAGGAACACCAGUGGCGAAGGCGGCUUCCUGGACUGAUACUGACACUGAGGAGCGAAAGCGUGGGUAGCGAACAGG